AGUGUAUUAUCUGAGACGCAACUCGUGAGGAGGUGAGCUCGACGGUGACAAAGAGUUCAAAUAUUUCGGUAAAAGCGCUUCGUUGAUUUCGUCGUUGGUGUUACAGUGUUCAGCGCUGUCUACGCUCGUGUAUAUUCUUUCGCGUUUCUCGGACAGUAUCGCGCAUUUGGCUGCUUCUUUGUAUUGCUUCUCUUUCAUGUACUCUCCAUAUACAUCGUUGACUAUAUUCGAAUCUGCAGAUGCUACGCAACGUUCUGGCAGCAGAAGAUUAUCUUCCGAAUCGUUCAACGCACCGCUUCCUACGUCCACCACAUCUGCCAAUUCAUAUGGCAUGGUGCCAAUAUUGACUUUACAUUGGCGAGCUGAUUGGUCUGUGCUCCAUCCAGAUGUACAUAUAAUCUGAAAUAGAAAAUAUAUUAACAGCAACGAUGGAAAAUAAUAUAAUAAAAACUUGAAAACCUUGUUGAGCUGUACAGCUUUAGCGGUGCGUUCAACUUGCCCCUCCCAAGCAAUGCAUUGAACGCGUAUUCACGAUCCAUUGUUGAUGGCGAAUUUCAUUAGUGUGUACUUUUUUAUUUUUCAAACAAUUUUUGGGCGUUCGACAAUGUCCACGUAGCCAAUAACUUCUCUAAAAGUAAGAACAAAGCAUGAUACAUUUUCAGAAUUUCAUUUGCAUAUUGAUAAAUAUAUUUUAAUAGCAUAAGAGGCGUAUUAUAAAUUAUAUUAUGAUUAAAACUACUUACACGGAUCAUCGAUGGAUAUACUUUCGAAAACUUCGCUUGAAGAUAAAAAUAUUUAAUUUCCCGACAUUUUGAUAUUUUUGUAAGAGCCUUUUACCGCUUCGAAAUCUUCUUCGCGAAUAAACGCUAUUAAAGAAAA
Long non-coding RNA from Cephus cinctus (wheat stem sawfly), 879 nucleotides. RefSeq lists it as uncharacterized. The record is from RefSeq and is a predicted model, not a curated record. The transcript is spliced from 3 exons. NCBI's taxonomy places the organism in Eukaryota, Metazoa, Arthropoda, Insecta, Hymenoptera, Cephidae.